AAGGCUGAUCUUAUGGGGAACAAAAUCCGCACAUAUGUCGACACAUUACUCUGGGUGCCUAUUUGGUGGAGAAUGAGGACAUAUGGAGGCCUAACC
Molecule: small RNA, 96 nt
Filed under: Acinetobacter apis
Lineage: Bacteria; Pseudomonadati; Pseudomonadota; Gammaproteobacteria; Moraxellales; Moraxellaceae
Description: t44 RNA
Rfam family: t44 RNA (bases 10-95)
About the family: This family consists of a number of bacterial RNA genes of between 135 and 170 bases in length. The t44 gene is found between the map and rpsB genes in all species in the full alignment apart from Shigella flexneri.
Source: RNAcentral